AACGAACGUUGGCGGCAGGCUUAACACAUGCAAGUCGAACGCCCCGCAAGGGGAGUGGCAGACGGGUGAGUAACGCGUGGGAACAUACCCUUUUCUACGGAAUAGCUCUGGGAAACUGGAAUUAAUACCGUAUACGCCCUACGGGGGAAAGAUUUAUCGGGGAAGGAUUGGCCCGCGUUGGAUUAGCUAGUUGGUGGGGUAAAGGCCUACCAAGGCGACGAUCCAUAGCUGGUCUGAGAGGAUGAUCAGCCACAUUGGGACUGGGACACGGCCCAAACUCCUACGGGAGGCAGCAGUGGGGAAUAUUGGACAAUGGGCGCAAGCCUGAUCCAGCCAUGCCGCGUGAGUGAUGAAGGCCUUAGGGUUGUAAAGCUCUUUCACCGAUGAAGAUAAUGACGGUAGUCGGAGAAGAAGCCCCGGCUAACUUCGUG
This 431-nucleotide ribosomal RNA is filed under the name uncultured bacterium. RNAcentral describes it as "partial 16S ribosomal RNA". It matches the Rfam family "Bacterial small subunit ribosomal RNA", at positions 29 to 507 of the family's 1533-position model. The record is from RNAcentral.